UUUCUUUUAAUUUUUUUAUUCGUUUUAUCUUUGUAAACCACCGCUCAUUCACACUUGUCUCGAUUCUUUCCACCGCCUCUAGAAAACCUCACCCACUUAAAACCAGUCUUGGAAGGAUGUAACCACAGGUCGACGAUGAAUGGAUCGACAACGCCUUCCAUCUUCUUCACCAGAGAAAUCGAAGCAAAAUAAGUUCAGCAAUUGAAGUGGGUCCUUUUGAUCGAUCAUGGUUGAACCUGGAAACCUCCAGAGAAGAACCCUAAAUUCAUCGAUUUUGCUCUGCUCCUUCUCUAUUCGAUUACACUUUCCACUCAAUGAUGAUGCUAUUGAAGAUGAGUACAAUUUGUUUGAAGCGUCCAAUUUUUAUUUUAGGGGUUUUCCACUUCUUUCGGUAUUAAGUACAUGUAAUAAUUUAUGUGUCAUUUUUCUUCAUUUUUGUUUUUUCUUGAUGCUUCGAUUGAUGUUUUCACAGUAUUCCUUCGUUUGAACAAAGAAACGUAUCCCUAACUGAAUUUGUCCAUAAAAGAAAGAAUGAAAGAUGAGGAAGAACAGAAAAAGAGGAGACGAUAUCGGAAAAAAUGAUGUUUAUGCUGACCAAUCGCCGUUCUUGAUGCUCAUUGCCAUCGCUCGGAGCUUUCAACAGUAACAAAAAAUAAUUCUUUACCUACGUAUUGCUGAUAUGUCAAAAUUACCUUCUGUGCAGUUGAGGCAUGUGCAACCUGAAAUUGAUGCUAGAAGAUCACAAUGAGCAAUUGCAGCUCCUCAUCUUUUUCUACUUUACAAAUUAAAUUUCCAAAAAUUUGUUGUGCUAAACUGGUCGCCUGUAAGCAUUUGUGGAUGCAGUUAACAAGCUGGGUGGAAGUCAAAAAAUAAUAGACAGCUAGAUACAAACCUAAAACUUCAUCAGAAACAAGUCGUGCCAAUGUUAAUUCUCCUCCUGUUGUGACAAUAAUGAAUGCCAUCCAGCAGGAGGGAUAUGGUGUUAGUAGAUCGUACAUUUCCAAUAAUGUGAUCAAGACAAAUCGUCUCAUCUCAGAGUCGUGAGUUUAUUUUUUUUAUUAAAUAUGGAGUAUGGACAACCUGAUGUUGGUGGUCAUAGAGAAAUGGACGUUGUCCACAGUCAUGAUUGGGAAUGUGUUACUGUGAUUACAAUUUGGAGAAGAAUAUGAUUUAGAGUCCUUAGACCUGAUGUUAAUUUCUUUCUUAAUGGUCAAUUGUGAUGAAUUAAACCCUUGGAAACCUUGGGUUUGGGGUUGUCGGUGCCAAUGGGCAAUCCCAACCUCAGGAAACAAACACAUUUUGGCAAUUUGGAAGAACUGAAAUAAAUUGCGUGUUCAGUUGGAAGGAAAUUGGAAUCUCCUCUAAAUAUCUAUGGGUACACAAAUAUUAAAUAAU
This is a long non-coding RNA of Lactuca sativa (garden lettuce), 1395 nucleotides long. RefSeq lists it as uncharacterized. NCBI's taxonomy places the organism in Eukaryota, Viridiplantae, Streptophyta, Magnoliopsida, Asterales, Asteraceae. The record is from RefSeq and is a predicted model, not a curated record.